This 75-nucleotide transfer RNA is filed under the name Cronobacter phage LPCS28. Its description in RNAcentral is "tRNA-Ile". It matches the Rfam family "tRNA". Rfam says of the family: Transfer RNA (tRNA) molecules are approximately 80 nucleotides in length. Their secondary structure includes four short double-helical elements and three loops (D, anti-codon, and T loops). Lineage: Duplodnaviria; Heunggongvirae; Uroviricota; Caudoviricetes; Pantevenvirales; Straboviridae. The record is from RNAcentral.
AGUUUCGUCGUACAACGGCUAGUACAGGCACCUGAUAAGUGUCAGAUAGGAGUUCGAUUCUCCUCGAAACUACCA